Long non-coding RNA from Carassius auratus (goldfish), 184 nucleotides. RefSeq lists it as uncharacterized. The transcript has 2 exons. The record is from RefSeq and is a predicted model, not a curated record. NCBI's taxonomy places the organism in Eukaryota, Metazoa, Chordata, Actinopteri, Cypriniformes, Cyprinidae.
UCCUAUACCGAUUUCACAACUAGCCCUCUGAUUGGUUGAAACCGCAUGCAUAACAGUCUAGACCCCAGACAGAGGACACAGUCAAACAUGGCUUAUCUGAGAUCUAUCCUGCGUUCAGGGAAGAAUGCCGUUCCAGCGGUUUUGCGGCGGGAGUUUCACAGGACGCUGCCGGCUGCGGUGCAGG